GAUGAACGCUGGCGGCGUGCCUAAUACAUGCAAGUCGAGCGAACAGAUAAGGAGCUUGCUCCUUUGACGUUAGCGGCGGACGGGUGAGUAACACGUGGGUAACCUACCUAUAAGACUGGAAUAACUCCGGGAAACCGGGGCUAAUGCCGGAUAACAUUUAGAACCGCAUGGUUCUAAAGUGAAAGAUGGUUUUGCUAUCACUUAUAGAUGGACCCGCGCCGUAUUAGCUAGUUGGUAAGGUAACGGCUUACCAAGGCAACGAUACGUAGCCGACCUGAGAGGGUGGUCGGCCACACUGGAACUGAGAAACGGUCCAGACUCCUACGGGAGGCAGCAGUAGGGAAUCUUCCGCAAUGGGCGAAAGCCUGACGGAGCAACGCCGCGUGAGUGAUGAAGGUCUUCGGAUCGUAAAACUCUGUUAUUAGGGAAGAACAAAUGUGUAAGUAACUGUGCACGUCUUGACGGUACCUAAUCAGAAAGCCACGGCUAACUACGUG
This 497-nucleotide ribosomal RNA is filed under the name uncultured bacterium. Its description in RNAcentral is "partial 16S ribosomal RNA". It matches the Rfam family "Bacterial small subunit ribosomal RNA", at positions 28 to 507 of the family's 1533-position model. The record is from RNAcentral.